CUCUUCCAUUUCAUCUCUUCAAAUAUCUUCAAUGCUUCCUCAACUUUUACUGACCUGCCUAAGCUCUCAAUCAAAGUUUGUAAGUUCGCAAAUCCGGUUGAACUCUCUCUCACUCAUUUCUUUGAAAUAUAUUAAGCACAAAUCAAAUCUAACUACAUUCUACAAGCUGGUUCAGAAGGUGUUGUAUGUUACAAUAACUUGAAUAAGAUUAACCUUUUUCCAUAGCAGCAAAUUCAUGUAACAUUUCAUCUCCUUUUCCAAGCCGACCCAAAAUUCCCAAAAUGGUAUUAUUUGUAACCAAGCCUCGUUUACAUUCCUAACUUUUCAUAUGAUCAAAUGCGAAAAGUGCUUUGUCAACAUGUUCGCAUUUAUCAAAGGCAAAGAUAAGUCUGUUCAGAACUAUUUCAUUUCAACGGAACACCAUUCCUGAGUUUUCGCUAAUAAAUUUCAAUAAUAUGACAGGAUCAUUGUGCUUCACAAACAUUCUAGCAAGGAUAAGAUAUGAAGUUAAUCUUAUAGAGUCACAAAACACCAAGAAAAUUUGGAAGACCAGGUCAAUAUUAUUAUUUUUUUCACCUGCAGCAGCAUCUAGAAGGCGCUCAUACGUGCAAGGGCCAAAGAAUAUGUGCUUCUUACAUAACGAAUGCAUUAGCCCAGCAACAGUUAGAAGAUCUCCAGCAGCAUCGAGUUUGUCAACAUAAGUGGUACAUAUUUCUUCUCUAUAAAUGGAAGAGUCCUUAAUAGCAGAAUAGAUUUCAUUCAAAAUUUCAUCAUUACUUUCUUGAAGAAGAGAUGCUUCUUUUGUUAUUGAUUAUGGAUUGCAAACUGAAUUACUAAAU
This 839-nucleotide long non-coding RNA is filed under the name Olea europaea subsp. europaea. Lineage: Eukaryota; Viridiplantae; Streptophyta; Magnoliopsida; Lamiales; Oleaceae. The record is from RNAcentral.